ACGAUGCCAGCGUGCUGCCGGUUGCGGGGACUGCGGAUAGAGGUGCGCUCCAUGAGGUGCUAGCUGCAGGGGAGGACGACCAUGACAUGGUAGUGGCUGCUGUGGAUAAAGGCGCGCUUGAUGAGGUGCUAGCUGCAAGGGAGGAGGACGAUGACAUGGUCGUGGCUGCUGUGGAUAAAGGUGCGCUUGGUGAGGUGCUAGCUGCAGGGGAGGAGGCCAAUGACAUGGUAGUGACUGCUGUGGA
This is a long non-coding RNA of Syngnathus acus (greater pipefish), 244 nucleotides long. RefSeq lists it as uncharacterized. NCBI's taxonomy places the organism in Eukaryota, Metazoa, Chordata, Actinopteri, Syngnathiformes, Syngnathidae. The record is from RefSeq and is a predicted model, not a curated record. The transcript has 3 exons.